This 500-nucleotide ribosomal RNA is filed under the name uncultured Glomeromycotina. Its description in RNAcentral is "partial small subunit ribosomal RNA". It matches the Rfam family "Eukaryotic small subunit ribosomal RNA", at positions 591 to 1092 of the family's 1831-position model. Lineage: Eukaryota; Fungi; Glomeromycota. The record is from RNAcentral.
CCAAUAGCGUAUAUUAAAGUUGUUGCAGUUCAAAAGCUCGUAGUUGAAUUUCGGGAUCAAUAUAUCGGUCGUGCCAUUGGUACGUACUGGUAUCAUUGGUUUCUCCUUUCUGACGAACCAUGAUGUCAUUAAUUUGGUGUUAUGGGAAGUUAGGACUGUUACUUUGAAAAAAUUAGAGUGUUUAAAGCAGGCUUUAGCUUGAAUACAUUAGCAUGGAAUAAUGAAAUAGGACGUUCGAACCUAUUUUGUUGGUUUCUAGGAUCAACGUAAUGAUUAAUAGGGAUAGUUGGGGGCAUUAGUAUUCAAUUGUCAGAGGUGAAAUUCUUGGAUUUAUUGAAGACUAACUACUGCGAAAGCAUUUGCCAAGGAUGUUUUCAUUAAUCAAGAACGAAAGUUAGGGGAUCGAAGACGAUCAGAUACCGUCGUAGUCUUAACCAUAAACUAUGCCGACUAGGGAUCGGAUGAUGUUAAUUUUUUAAUGACUCAUUCGGCGCCUUACG